UUGCGAAGUGGGUAUUUCAGGUUUCGGGACGAGAGGGAUUUGACCCGAAGGAAUGGGCCUGAUUUGCCCUCUUCUUCCGACAGAAAAUUGGGAACGUUGCUUCGUCUGUCAAUUAAAUGGAAGAGCUUUUCCGGAGGACGGGACGCGUGGAGUGAGUGUGAAUUCUACGGCAGCCAGGAGGGUGAUGCAAUUUGGGUUUUGUCCAGGUUUCUGUGUGGACUUCACUUUCGCGAACUGUUAUCUGGUCUGAGAUACAGCUGCAAUAUUGAAAAGAUGUUGCAGGGGCAUACUUGAAAUUGUAGUCCCAGUUCGAAUGUGAGAAGCGGUCCAGGAUUUCUUCACUCAACUGGAUUGCUCAAAUCACCCCAUUAACUAUGUGUCGAAAUUUGUGACGCUACAUGGUUAAAUGCUGCUCGACUUUGGGUAAUGGUUGUAAUGAUUUGCACAUCGAUUGUUUCAUUAGCAUUAGCUCUCAUCAUGGGUGUGGGGUGCUUUUUGCAGGCCCUUGGGAUCCAGGAAUUUUUUAAGUAUGCGAGCAAUCCACUCAUUUCACAGAGGUUAUAAAUGUGACAUCGUAUUUGAAUUCUGAAACUCAUGUAUAUGAAGCUCCAUAGCUAGUUCAAACCGAUGCAACUCACAGUAUGCCUUCGGCUGCUACCCUGUAGGUAUGGAUUUGUUUUGUGUGCAGGUUGUAGUUGAUCAAGAGUUCGGGCGGGAGGAAAAAUCACGAAGGUCACUGGUUCUUCACAAUUCAGUGCUCACAUGCGCUUGUCAAUGAAAGACUCAUGGUUCUCAAUUAUUUAAAAUCUGAAUCCACUAUUUUCUCACAAAAAAUUCAGUACAGUUGUAAUUCGGGACCAAUAAGAGUAGCAUGGAAAAUUUCGUUAUUAAAUGCUCGACGUGGCUGUGGUCGAGAUUUUUAGUGGAGUUUGUGUUCUAGGACUGACGAAUCCGACUCAAAUUCAAUAACUUUUAGCUGGUCGUCAGAGCAAAGCCUCGGUUGACCAACUUCACAGGUGCAAACGAGCAUAUUUUACCCUAUUUGAAGAUCUUUUGCGAAACUUUGACUCCAUCUCACGGCUUUUGCAGAAUAUAACGAUGGUUCUGUUCGGUGCUUUUGGCUCCUCAUGGUACAGCAAACACAACGCCCACCUGUUCGUUGUGUGUGAAAGUACUAAGCAGUGAUAUCUUGGACAUCAUCAAUAGCCUCAAAAAUGUGUUUCCAUAACGUCAGGUGACUUCUGCCGCAUCGUGCGGAACGAAAGACAGAACUUGAGAAGAGUCGAUUGUUUUGAUAGAAUCUCACUGAUGUAAGAGGCGUGAUUGCACCGCGAGGCCGAUCAUCGAUUCGGUUCUUAGAUAAAAAGGCGGCUCCUAAUCCCACCUCGAUGGCGCUUGCGGAGCUCUCAGAGUUUUCUCGAAAAAAUCACGGACAAUCAGUCGGGCAUAUUCGGCGGUUCCAAACCAGCGGAACACCGAAACUAAUUCACGAGGCAGUAGUCCAAGUACUUCCGGUGCUACAUUAGAUGUGAACCUGAAAAACAAGCACAACAUCUUCAUUGGCAUUAUUUACUUGUUGUCUGGAAAGCUCUCGAUAGCGAGCCCCUGGUCUCGGUUGACCCCAUUGCCUGAUCAACCUGAAGCAGCUGCCACAGACUCGAGGUCGACCAUAACAAAACAAACAAUCCAUAGUCUUCGCCGUAGCGUGUCUCUUUGCAGCCUUGCUCUUAAUCCUCCUCCUCCACAUCCACGUGAGAGUGGUGCUGGCAUGACCAAGAAUCGGGUGUUGCAACCUUUACUUCAUCAGCUCUGACAUUGAUACCAUUCAUCACUUGUUGAAGUACAACAUCUGAGAAAGUACUAGAGAUUUGCUGACAUGCUGCAACAAGAGCACUAACAAGUUGAAUUUUCUCCAUUUUCAUAUCUUCUAUCUUGCUUAUGUUUGCUUUCUUGUAGUACCCAUAUCAGCUGUUCAACCUUUCUUCCUUCUCUAUCACCAAAAGUAGCAAUUUGUUUUGUCUACAAUUCUCAUCCUCAGUCUUGAUGGUAUACUGUUUAUCAGUACAUGCUAUAGCUUCGUCGAGAAUCUCCUUUGAUUGUUGCCUAGAUUCUCAUACUUGCAUGAUACGAAUGUUAAUAUCUGAUCAAAAUCAAAUCCUUCUAGCUUUAGAUGCUCAAGCUCUGGAUCGAUUUGAACUUCGGAGUAUCCAGGGAAUGUUUUGGACAUGUUACUUGUUUCACAAAUAUUUAUCCUUAGUGCUUUCUCUUCA
This is a non-coding RNA of Physcomitrium patens, 2270 nucleotides long. Lineage: Eukaryota; Viridiplantae; Streptophyta; Bryopsida; Funariales; Funariaceae. The record is from RefSeq and is a predicted model, not a curated record.